ACGAGAACAAGCCCUGUUGAGCAUCGCAGUGUACCCAAGUAAACCAUUACCGCCCAGCGGCGCCUGUGGAAUAGGUAAUAACCAGCACCUGAUAGCAGGGCUGUCAUUACCCUUGCGUAAGAGAUGAUGUUGUGUGUAACAGACAAAACCCAAGAUCUGUGACUCAACAAUAACUGUAUUGCCAGUUCUCCAGCAGAAAAUCCAAAGCCUUCCUUUCUGAAAGGACAUCCUGGAGGACAUCAGUGGGUCUUGAGAGUCAGUGGGCGUGCAAUGCAGUAAAUAGUGUUCCAGAUGACGCCAAAGAAUGAAGAGACAUGUUUCUAUAAUAUCUGUUAGACACAUCUAAGUGAAGGAGCCUAAUUUUGUUGUUUCGAGGUUGUACAUUUAGCAUAUGAGCUUAUUUACACACUUUGAGGCACCUGAAGAUGUUAACAUCUGUCACCUGCAGCAGAAGCUUCUUACCUCCACUUCUAUGGCACGGUAAUGGAUCGCUUACACCCUCCUUACCUGCCUGAGCAUGGUGCUGGCUUGGUUACUUCAAAUGACUGCUACUCACAACAGGCAAGGCUGCAAGAGCACAUCUUUCCCAAAGCAAGUUUCAAAGGAAUCAAC
Molecule: long non-coding RNA, 612 nt
Organism: Neopsephotus bourkii (Bourke's parrot)
Lineage: Eukaryota; Metazoa; Chordata; Aves; Psittaciformes; Psittacidae
Exons: 3
Source: RefSeq, a predicted model, not a curated record